This 460-nucleotide ribosomal RNA is filed under the name uncultured bacterium. Its description in RNAcentral is "partial 16S ribosomal RNA". It matches the Rfam family "Bacterial small subunit ribosomal RNA", at positions 338 to 795 of the family's 1533-position model. The record is from RNAcentral.
CCUACGGGGGACAGCAGUGAGGAAUAUUGGUCAAUGGGCUUACGCCUGAACCAGCCAAGUAGCGUGCGGGAAGACUGCCCUACGGGUUGUAAACCUCUUUUGUACGGGGGCAACACCGGCUACGUGUAGCGGGCCUCAGAGUACGUGAGGAAAAAGCAUGGCCUAAUUCGGUGCCAGCAGCCGCGGUAAACCGGAGGCUGCGAGCGUAAUCCGGUUUUAUUGGGUUUAAAGGGGGCGUAGGCGGCAUGCAAAGUCAGCGGUAAAAUCGCGGGGCUCAACCUCGCCCCGCCGUUGAAACUGGCGUUCUUGAGUGGGCGAGAAGUAUGCGGAAUGCGUGGUGUAGCGGUGAAAUGCAUAGAUAUCACGCAGAACUCCGAUUGCGAAGGCAGCAUACCGGCGCCCAACUGACGCUGAAGCACGAAAGUGUGGGUAUCGAACAGGAUUAGAUACCCGAGUAGUC